CCUACGGGCGGCUGCAGUGGGGAAUAUUGCACAAUGGGCGCAAGCCUGAUGCAGCCAUGCCGCGUGUGUGAAGAAGGCCUUCGGGUUGUAAAGCACUUUCAGCGGGGAGGAAGGCGUUAAGGUUAAUAACCUUGGCGAUUGACGUUACCCGCAGAAGAAGCACCGGCUAACUCCGUGCCAGCAGCCGCGGUAAUACGGAGGGUGCAAGCGUUAAUCGGAAUUACUGGGCGUAAAGCGCACGCAGGCGGUCUGUCAAGUCGGAUGUGAAAUCCCCGGGCUCAACCUGGGAACUGCAUUCGAAACUGGCAGGCUAGAGUCUUGUAGAGGGGGGUAGAAUUCCAGGUGUAGCGGUGAAAUGCGUAGAGGUCUGGAGGAAUACCGGUGGCGAAGGCGGCCCCCUGGACAAAGACUGACGCUCAGGUGCGAAAGCGUGGGGAGCAAACAGGAUUAGAUACCCGUGUAGUC
RNAcentral lists this ribosomal RNA (465 nucleotides) under uncultured Klebsiella sp. RNAcentral describes it as "bacterial SSU rRNA". It matches the Rfam family "Bacterial small subunit ribosomal RNA", at positions 338 to 795 of the family's 1533-position model. Lineage: Bacteria; Pseudomonadati; Pseudomonadota; Gammaproteobacteria; Enterobacterales; Enterobacteriaceae. The record is from RNAcentral.